RNAcentral lists this ribosomal RNA (524 nucleotides) under uncultured bacterium. RNAcentral describes it as "partial 16S ribosomal RNA". It matches the Rfam family "Bacterial small subunit ribosomal RNA", at positions 28 to 523 of the family's 1533-position model. The record is from RNAcentral.
GACGAACGCUGGCGGCGUGCUUAACACAUGCAAGUCGAACGGACAGACAGAGAGCUUGCUCUCUUGAAGUUAGUGGCGAACGGGUGAGUAACGCGUAAUCAACCUGCCCUUCAGAGGGGGGUAACAACGGGAAACCGUUGCUAAUACCGCGUACGAUUCAUGAACGGCAUCGUUUAUGAAUGAAAGGUGGCCUCUAUGUAUAAGCUAUCGCUGAAGGAGGGGAUUGCGUCUGAUUAGCUAGUUGGAGGGGUAACGGCCCACCAAGGCAAUGAUCAGUAGCCGGUCUGAGAGGAUGAACGGCCACAUUGGGACUGAGACACGGCCCAAACUCCUACGGGAGGCAGCAGUGGGGAAUCUUCCGCAAUGGACGAAAGUCUGACGGAGCAACGCCGCGUGAGUGAUGAAGGUCUUCGGAUUGUAAAGCUCUGUUAAUCGGGACGAAAGAGUUCUGCGUGAAUAAUGCAGAAAGGUGACGGUACCGGAAUAGAAAGCCACGGCUAACUACGUGCCAGCCGCCGCGGUAA